CGAUCGGUAGCCGGACUGAGAGGUUGAACGGCCACAUUGGGACUGAGACACGGCCCAGACUCCUACGGGAGGCAGCAGUGGGGAAUAUUGCACAAUGGGGGAAACCCUGAUGCAGCGACGCCGCGUGGAGGAAGAAGGUCUUCGGAUUGUAAACUCCUGUUGUUGAGGAAGAUAAUGACGGUACUCAACAAGGAAGUGACGGCUAACUACGUGCCAGCAGCCGCGGUAAAACGUAGGUCACAAGCGUUGUCCGGAAUUACUGGGUGUAAAGGGAGCGCAGGCAGGCGAUCAAGUUGGAAGUGAAAUCCAUGGGCUCAACCCAUGAACUGCUUUCAAAACUGAUUGUCUUGAGUAGUGCAGAGGUAGGCGGAAUUCCCGGUGUAGCGGUGGAAUGCGUAGAUAUCGGGAGGAACACCAGUGGCGAAGGCGGCCUACUGGGCACCAACUGACGCUGAGGCUCGAAAGUGUGGGUAGCAAACAGGAUUAGAUACCCUGGUAGUCCACACCGUAAACGAUGAUUACUAGGUGUUGGAGGAUUGACCCCUUCAGUGCCGCAGUUAACACAAUAAGUAAUCCACCUGGGGAGUACGACCGCAAGGUUGUAACUCAAAGGAAUUGACGGGGGCCCGCACAAGCAGUGGAGUAUGUGUUUAAUUCGACGCAACGCGAAGAACCUUACCAAGUCUUGACAUCCUGCGACGGACAUAGAAAUAUGUUUUUCCUUCGGGACGCAGAGACAGGUGGUGCAUGGUUGUCGUCAGCUCGUGUCGUGAGAUGUUGGGUUAAGUCCCGCAACGAGCGCAACCCUUAUGGUCAGUUACUACGCAAGAGGACUCUGGCCAGACUGCCGUUGACAAAACGGAGGAAGGUGGGGAUGACGUCAAAUCAUCAUGCCCUUUAUGACUUGGGCUACACACGUACUACAAUGGCGUUAAACAAAGAGAAGCAAGACCGCGAGGUGGAGCAAAACUCAGAAACAACGUCCCAGUUCGGACUGCAGGCUGCAACUCGCCUGCACGAAGUCGGAAUUGCUAGUAACCGCAGAUCAGCAUGCUGCGGUGAAUACGUUCCCGGGCCUUGUACACACCGCCCGUCACACCAUGAGAGCCGGGGGGACCCGAAGUCGGUAGUCUAACCGCAAGGAGGACGCCGCCGAAGGUAAAACUGGUGAUUGGGGUGAAGUCGUAACAAGGUAGCCGUACUAGUACG
This 1209-nucleotide ribosomal RNA is filed under the name metagenome. RNAcentral describes it as "bacterial SSU rRNA". It matches the Rfam family "Bacterial small subunit ribosomal RNA", at positions 277 to 1516 of the family's 1533-position model. The record is from RNAcentral.